This 1450-nucleotide ribosomal RNA is filed under the name uncultured organism. RNAcentral's name for it is "SSU rRNA". It matches the Rfam family "Bacterial small subunit ribosomal RNA". The record is from RNAcentral.
UGAACGCUAGCUACAGGCUUAACACAUGCAAGUCGAGGGGCAGCAUGGUCUUAGCUUGCUAAGGCCGAUGGCGACCGGCGCACGGGUGAGUAACACGUAUCCAACCUGCCGUCUACUCUUGGACAGCCUUCUGAAAGGAAGAUUAAUACAAGAUGGCAUCAUGAGUCCGCAUGUUCACAUGAUUAAAGGUAUUCCGGUAGACGAUGGGGAUGCGUUCCAUUAGAUAGUAGGCGGGGUAACGGCCCACCUAGUCUUCGAUGGAUAGGGGUUCUGAGAGGAAGGUCCCCCACAUUGGAACUGAGACACGGUCCAAACUCCUACGGGAGGCAGCAGUGAGGAAUAUUGGUCAAUGGGCGAGAGCCUGAACCAGCCAAGUAGCGUGAAGGAUGACUGCCCUAUGGGUUGUAAACUUCUUUUAUAAAGGAAUAAAGUCGGGUAUGCAUACCCGUUUGCAUGUACUUUAUGAAUAAGGAUCGGCUAACUCCGUGCCAGCAGCCGCGGUAAUACGGAGGAUCCGAGCGUUAUCCGGAUUUAUUGGGUUUAAAGGGAGCGUAGAUGGAUGUUUAAGUCAGUUGUGAAAGUUUGCGGCUCAACCGUAAAAUUGCAGUUGAUACUGGAUAUCUUGAGUGCAGUUGAGGCAGGCGGAAUUCGUGGUGUAGCGGUGAAAUGCUUAGAUAUCACGAAGAACUCCGAUUGCGAAGGCAGCCUGCUAAGCUGCAACUGACAUUGAGGCUCGAAAGUGUGGGUAUCAAACAGGAUUAGAUACCCUGGUAGUCCACACGGUAAACGAUGAAUACUCGCUGUUUGCGAUAUACGGCAAGCGGCCAAGCGAAAGCGUUAAGUAUUCCACCUGGGGAGUACGCCGGCAACGGUGAAACUCAAAGGAAUUGACGGGGCCCGCACAAGCGGAGGAACAUGUGGUUUAAUUCGAUGAUACGCGAGGAACCUUACCCGGGCUUAAAUUGCAGAUGAAUUACGGUGAAAGCCGUAAGCCGCAAGGCAUCUGUGAAGGUGCUGCAUGGUUGUCGUCAGCUCGUGCCGUGAGGUGUCGGCUUAAGUGCCAUAACGAGCGCAACCCUUGUUGUCAGUUACUAACAGGUUCCGCUGAGGACUCUGACAAGACUGCCAUCGUAAGAUGUGAGGAAGGUGGGGAUGACGUCAAAUCAGCACGGCCCUUACGUCCGGGGCUACACACGUGUUACAAUGGGGGGUACAGAGGGCCGCUACCACGCGAGUGGAUGCCAAUCCCCAAAACCUCUCUCAGUUCGGACUGGAGUCUGCAACCCGACUCCACGAAGCUGGAUUCGCUAGUAAUCGCGCAUCAGCCACGGCGCGGUGAAUACGUUCCCGGGCCUUGUACACACCGCCCGUCAAGCCAUGGGAGCCGGGGGUACCUGAAGUGCGUAACCGCGAGGAGCGCCCUAGGGUAAAACUGGUGACUGGGGCUAAG